RNAcentral lists this ribosomal RNA (292 nucleotides) under uncultured bacterium. RNAcentral describes it as "partial 16S ribosomal RNA". It matches the Rfam family "Bacterial small subunit ribosomal RNA", at positions 505 to 796 of the family's 1533-position model. The record is from RNAcentral.
GUUACAGCCGCCGCGGUAAUACGGAGGAUGCGAGCGUUAUCCGGAUUUAUUGGGUUUAAAGGGUGCGUAGGCGGAUUGGUAAGUCAGUGGUGAAAUACUGCAGCUUAACUGUAGAAUUGCCGUUGAUACUGUCAGUCUUGAGUAUGGUUAAGGUAGGCGGAAUGUGUAAUGUAGCGGUGAAAUGCUUAGAUAUUACACAGAACACCGAUUGCGAAGGCAGCUUACUGAACCAUAACUGACGCUGAGGCACGAAAGCGUGGGGAGCGAACAGGAUUAGAAACCCGAGUAGUCC